UACGUAGGGGGCAAGCGUUGUCCGGAUUUAUUGGGCGUAAAGAGCGUGUAGGCGGCUUGGCAAGUCUGCUGUGAAAGCUCGAGGCUUAACCUCGAGACGUCGGUGGAAACUGCCUGGCUAGAGUUCGGAAGAGGAGAGUGGAAUUCCUGGUGUAGCGGUGAAAUGCGCAGAUAUCAGGAAGAACACCCGUGGCUAAGGCGGCUCUCUAGUACGGUACUGACGCUGAGACGCGAAAGCGUGGGGAGCGAACAGG
RNAcentral lists this ribosomal RNA (253 nucleotides) under uncultured bacterium. RNAcentral's name for it is "partial 16S ribosomal RNA". It matches the Rfam family "Bacterial small subunit ribosomal RNA", at positions 524 to 776 of the family's 1533-position model. The record is from RNAcentral.